Molecule: ribosomal RNA, 446 nt
Filed under: uncultured bacterium
Lineage: Bacteria
Description: partial 16S ribosomal RNA
Rfam family: Bacterial small subunit ribosomal RNA
Source: RNAcentral
CCUACGGGUGGCAGCAGUCGAGAAUCAUUCACAAUGGGGGAAACCCUGAUGGUGCGACGCCGCGUGGGGGAAUGAAGGUCUUCGGAUUGUAAACCCCUGUCAUGUGGGAGCAAAUUAAAAAGAUAGUACCACAAGAGGAAGAGACGGCUAACUCUGUGCAAGCAGUCGCGGUAAUACAGAGGUCUCAAGCGUUGUUCGGAAUCAAUGGGCGUAAAGCGUGCGUAGGCUGUUUCGUAAGUCGUGGGUGAAAGGCGCGGGCUCAACCCGCGGACGGCACAUGAUACUGCGGGACUAGAGUACUGGAGGGGGAACCGGAAUUCUCGGUGUAGCAGUGAAAUGCGUAGAUAUCGAGAGGAACACUCGUGGCGAAGGCGGGUUCCUGGACAUUAACUGACGCUGAGGCACGAAGGCCAGGGGAGCGAAAGGGAUUAGAUACCCCGGUAGUC